RNAcentral lists this ribosomal RNA (293 nucleotides) under uncultured eukaryote. Its description in RNAcentral is "partial 18S ribosomal RNA". It matches the Rfam family "Eukaryotic small subunit ribosomal RNA", at positions 6 to 305 of the family's 1831-position model. The record is from RNAcentral.
GGUUGAUCCUGCCAGUAGUCAUAUGCUUGUCUCAAAGAUUAAGCCAUGCAUGUCUAAGUAUAAGCACUUAUACUGUGAAACUGCGAAUGGCUCAUUAAAUCAGUUAUAGUUUAUUUGAUAGUACCUUACUACUUGGAUAACCGUGGUAAUUCUAGGGCUAAUACAUGCAACAAAUCUCGACUUCUGGAAGAGACGUAUUUAUUAGAUAAAAAACCAACCCUUCGGGUUCUUUGGUGAAUCAUGAUAACUUUUCGAAUCGCAGGGCCUUGUGCCGGCGAUGGUUCAUUCAAAUU